Long non-coding RNA from Lotus japonicus, 3824 nucleotides. RefSeq lists it as uncharacterized. The transcript has 5 exons. The record is from RefSeq and is a predicted model, not a curated record. NCBI's taxonomy places the organism in Eukaryota, Viridiplantae, Streptophyta, Magnoliopsida, Fabales, Fabaceae.
AGCGGUUUUUCCGGUGCCUAUUCAGAAGACCCAUUACUGCAAACAAUCUUCUGCAAUCUUCUCUUGUAGAUUUUGAAGUACAAGUACAAUCUUCUGGAAUCUUUCCUGUACCGCAAUUUCCCUCUAUCUCAUUUUGGUUUUCUCUAAAUUGUUCAUCAUCUCUGCUAUAAAAACUGAAACUCGUGAUCAGUCAUUGGCACCGCUUGAUAGUUCAACUACUCCAUCUGGUAGUCUUUUUCAAUUACUUAUAUUUUGUUGAGGUCUGGGUCUGAUGGCUUCGUUGGGUGGCAGUUUGAAUUCCGCCGCCACCAGCUACGCCUCCAUACUCGCCGACGUGGAGAAGCUCCAGACCCUCUUUUCUGACCCCAAGGUGUUCGACUAUUUCUCCAACCCAAUCGUCCGCGUCGAAGACAAAGCAGGUGCAGAAGCUCACUGGUCCAAGAAUGUGAGGAUUAAGACCCAGCUUGACCCGAGUUUAGUGGCUGUGAGGUAUGGGAAUUCUGGGUCUAAGUGAUUGACAUGAGUGUCAAGAAGCAUUUAGAGGAAAUUGCAGCUCAGCUUGAAGUGGCUGAUAUCUCACUGGUUGUAUGAGCUUGCUCUGUUUUCUCUCUUGCAUCCUUAUAUACUAUUUUUUUGGGGUUAAAGUAUAUGUAUGAAUAUGAAUCCUCAACUGUGUAGUGCAACCUUCUUAUAGUGCCUUAUGUGAUUCUUAAUUUUGAAAAAGUGGGUUUUUUCUGUUCUAUAUUAUAUUUGGAAACUCUUCUAUAAUUCUAGAUUUAAUAUCAAUUUUGAGGAGAAGCUUAUAUGAGUAGCUUCUGUGUAUUAAGAAUUGAAUCAGGAGAAAGAGAAAUAGUAGCUGAUUGUUCAUUUCAAUUAUUUGUCACUACUUGAUUCUUCAUUGCAACAGGAUGGAAAAUCAUGGAUUAUAUAUUGUGGUUCACAUGUACACUACAACUGGUAUAUGUAGGAGUGUGAUUUCUCUAACGUGAUUUUCAUCUUAGAAGAGAAAAAAUAGGCACUAAGACUUUGAUUGUUGAUUGGCCUAAAUAUUUUGAGAUUUAGCUAUGUGAUGAAUCAACAAACCAGUUGUAUUAUAUAAGCCCACAUGGUUUUAAGGAUCAUGCGUGCAUUAUGCAGAAGUAAAACAUGAUACCUUAAUCGUGCACUGAAUACCUUAUUUUUCAUCAAACUUGCAGGAGUUGUGGGUUAUCUUGGUUUGAAUUUGUUUGUGAAGAAGAUCUACAGAAACAUCAAGUGUGACUAAGGCAAAUGUUCGAGUCAAGUCGAAACCAGAGCAAUUUCAUAUGAUGGUUACGGGAGAAAAUAAAUUGUUAGAGGAAGCCUCUGGUCAUAUGUGGAGGACCAAACCAGCCUCUUUCAGCAUUAAAAGGUUCAAAUGGCAACUCAAUGCCUUCUCUGUUGCUUUCCAUCUUGAAUUCAAUCUUUUAUUACUUUUUCAAGGGAUCUAGCUCAGUAUUAAUUUUGUUCCUAUUGGACUUUGAGUUUCUCUCUCACCCAUCAUAGCUGUGCUCUCACUUCCCAAAUAAAAAGUCAUGCUUUUUCCUGCCAUGAACUUCAUUCCCCUCUUUUUUUUUCUGAUCAAUUAUGCUAAUUAGCAAAACAAACUCUUUUUCUUCAUCCAUUUAUGUACAGCUUCGAAAGUAGUUUCUUAUUUAGUGAUUUAGGCCAUUUUUUAAGACCUACCACCAGGUGAUAUUUGAGAUGUUGUUUGACUUUGUGUGUGUGCUCUAUGAUCUUUAUUCUUUAAUAUGGGGGUUGUGGUCUUCUAUUUCCCUCUUCUAGAAAUUUCUCCACAGCAUCUCAAAUUGUCAGGAUCGGGUCGAACUAUCCAGAACCAACUCAAAGACCUGCCAAAUAGAGAGGUAAGGACAUUACAUCUGCAAUCUACUCCUGCAUAUUUUGAAGUACAAGUGCAAUCUUCUCCAAUCCUCUCCUUUACCGCAAUUUCCCCUCUAUCUCAUGUUGAUUUUCUCUAAAUUCUUCAUUAUGUCUGCUAUAAAAACCCAAACUGUGAUCUGUCAUUGGCACCGCUUGAUAGAUCGACUACUCCAUCUGAUAUUCAUCUUCAAUUACUUACAUUUUUUUGAGGUCUGGGUCAAAUGGCUUUGUUGGGUGGCAGUUUGAAUUCUGUUGCUAGCCUUUGUCAUGGAAGAGACACAUGGAGGAUUAGGGUCUGUGUUCUUAGGAUGUGGGAGAUGAGCCCAAUUGUUGAGCCAGAAAAGCCCUUUGCAGUCCAGCUGGUCCUGAUGAUGCUGAGAGAAUAGGAUGAUUCUAAUCAAGGAAAAGAGUCUGGAGGAGAACAGGAUCAUAAAAGUGAUGUUGGAAACCGAUUUGCGGAUCGGUGUGUAUCUGAAGUUGUUAUUAUAGCAAUGGGGUUCUACUUCUUUUAGCAUAGACCCAUGAGCUGAUUUUGCUUUGUCUCCUGCAUCCUGUUUUGUGGUUGAGCUUUGUUUUGCUGGUUUUAACUGGAGCAGGAUUGGUAUUUUACUAUGAUAGAGAAAAGAAACGACAAAUUGAAGGUAGAUUACUAUGACAUACAUAAUGCUUUGAAGGCAGUGAAGCAUGGACCUUAUGCGGGAAAAGCUGCAAUUGGGGUCCAUUUCACCUUACCAACCAUCAUGAGAAGCACGUUACUGAAAAGGACUUCUUGGGGAAGUGGACAGUGAUGCAUUGGAUUUACUCACUGCCCAAAUAUCUGCCCUGAUGAACUACAGAAGUUAGCAGAUGCAGUUGAUAAAAUAAUACCUAUAUUUUCUUGCAAGGAGGGAGUGGUGUGUGGGAGUUGAUUGGCGGAGGCUGUGUUCGCUGAGAUGAUUGAUGCAGGUUGUAAUCCUAAUGCAGUACUUUAAAUAGUUUUAUACUUGAUGACCAGGUUCAAUUUCUUUAUCUAUGGAAGUUAUUUUCAUACUUAAUUUUCACUAAUGUAUGAUGCUAAGGGUAGCAAUCCAGUGAGUUUUUAUUUAGGUAGGCUAAUAACUUAGUCAUGAGUGGCCUCUUACUCCAACUUGAUCUUCUGGUAUGAAUCUUUGAUGUCGCUAAAUCUUUUGUGAACUGCUUUGGUUUCUACUUGAUACAUUAUUUUUGUAUUACUGCCUUAAAUCAUAAAUGCUAAAAUUCCCUUUUGCAAGUAAUAGGGAGUUAACUUUCAUCAUGCUAUUUUUAGGAUGAACCAAGAAAGAUGAGCAUAUAUCUUGAAGAGGCGGCGAUAGAUACUCUUAUUUAAUGCCUGAGAAACACAGAUUUCCCUGCUACACAAUUAGCAGCUGCAGAGACAAUAAUGUCACUGCAAAGGAGGUUCAGCUUCUCUGGAAAACCUCUUAUCAGAGAAAUCCUUCUUAAACAAGCAGACACAGACAAAAGUUCCAGAAGUUUUGUACCUCUGGAUCAGAUGAGCCCAGAGAUUUAAAUUACUCCAGAAUUGAAGGAGAAGUAGAAAUUAGCAUUAGCAAGAAGUAGCAUGUUGAAUUGAAGGAGAUGGAACUAGCAUCACAAGAAGGAAUUGAAGGAGAAUUAGAAAUUAGCAUCAGCAAGAAGUAGCAUAUGGAAUUGAAGGAGAUGGAAGUAGCAUGACAAGAAGAAAUUGAGCAGUUUUCAUUUGAGGGAGAGAAUGAAAAAAAUGAAGAAAUGUGAGCCAAGUAUAUAUUUGUACUCAUUUAUCUUUGUGUAAAAAACACAAUUAAUUGAUCAUUUUUCCCCCUUAUUUUGUAUUAAAAUCCCAAUAUCUGUACUUGGAGCUUUUUUUUUCCAGCUCCCACAAACGGUUGAUUGAUUUUAAAUAAAAAUGCAUGCUUCAUGAAAUCUUA